Molecule: long non-coding RNA, 3084 nt
Filed under: Homo sapiens (human)
Lineage: Eukaryota; Metazoa; Chordata; Mammalia; Primates; Hominidae
Description: ATP6V0E2 antisense RNA 1 (ATP6V0E2-AS1)
Source: RNAcentral
GAUUGGCUGAGCAGGGCCGCGGACAGAGAGAAAUGCCGAGGAAUAGGGGCGCGGCCGCCCGGUUUCGGCGAUGGGUUAUAGGGUCCGCGUCAGCCCCGCGCCCGCACAGCCAACGUCACGCCGCAUUCUUAUUUCCAAAGACCCCUGGAGCUUGGGGUCCCACCCCAGCGGUCUUUCGGGGCGUCCCCUGCCCUUCACGCGCCGCGCCGGCUCGGCCCGAAGCGCCCUGCGGACCCGCAGCCUGGGCCGCCCCGAACCUGACGGCCCCGCGGGGGUCGGACGCGGGAGGAACGGCCUCGCUUUCAGAGACGCAGCGGGAGGGCGGUCCCCGCUGUCCCUCUGGCCGGGUCCUCAGCACGCGUUCUCCUCACUCCCAGGACUAGCGAGCGGCGGGCGCGGACCGGGGCCUGGGGUCGGAGGCGGCGCAGCCAGAAAGGCCCCAGCGGCGCUGAGACGUUUGGGGGAAGGCGGGGGCUUCGCGUUUCGAUGGCGGGAAGCGGAAUGAGGUUGGACCGGCCGGGCCGGCGUUCAGGGACCCGGCGGGAGGCGGAGGGCUGGCGUCCUCGCGGACAUCCAUCUGCAGCGAACCAGGCAGAGGCUUUGGGAUUAGAUCCUUGACUCCUUGCGUCAGUAGUUAAGCUUUGUGAUGGUCUGAGGUCCAUGAAGGGAUUAAAACCAGGAACUGGCUCCUUCUCCAACCACUAAAGCCUCAUCUGGGCCCACAAGCCCUGGCUGUUCCCUGGAGCGUGACUGGAAGAUGUGAGCAGCUUUGUGCUGGAGCCCCAUUUCCAUGGUGCAUGCUGCUGCCAAACCAGAGAUCACUUGUAGACUUGAAAGGGAACAUGAGCUUUGGGUGAAGGAUUCCCAGCCCCCAACAGAGGCCAAAAAGCUACCACCCAGCCAGGCAGAAGGAACAUAAAGUAUGCAUUUUAUGAUACGACUCAGCUUGGAGGGAUGAAGUAGAAGGUCCUCACUGCACCUCAUGGCAGGCUGCUGACGGCAGAUAUUUUACCGGGCUCACUGAACUGGGCAGUCAGGGAAGGGUCGGCUCCUGCUCUGUCCAGCUGUCUUCAUAAGGGACUCUGUGACACUUUUUAUAAAAAUGACUUUGAUUUCUGCAUAAGAAGGCUUCCCAAGCUUGCUGUCUAGCAGUGGCUGCUACAGGGAAUUAUUCACAUGGCAGCAAGAGAGCCCUGGCUCCCUGGACCAGGACAUUCCCUUUGUGUGUGUUGGAAUGAGAGCAGGAGGAGUGCUGGUCAGAAGCCCCUCCCCAGGGCUCUGGGACUUCAGUGUUCUCAGACAAACUGGGCCGCUCCUCUGAGCUGGGAUGCUGACCCACACUUGGCCCCGGCUCUGGCAUCCACAGGACGCUGCCUUAUCCGUCAUCUCGCUGGGGCUGGGGGCUAGAGGCUGAGCAGGUCACACUGAACAAAAGAAGUGUGUCCCCAUCACUAGGCUAACAUCUGAGUUUCUUCCACAGUAUUUGGUAACACAGUCAGAAACAAGACUGAAGAUGAUUCUGGAGGCAACUGGGAACCCCCCAGAACGAUUCUGCAGGCUUCUGGGAAGCUGAAAAACCCCAAGGCCAGACUGGCCUCAGAAUGCCUGAGUCCUUUUGAUUCCACUGGAAAAGCCAUCCAUCUGUGCCAAGUGUGUGGAGAGCUUCAAGAGCCAUAUAGCCCUGGCCACCAUGAGCACAGCCACGUGGGGGAGUAGUCCUGAAAGUGUCCUGGUGUGGCAAAGGCUUUCCACUAAGUGGACCUCAGAUGGCACAGGAAGACCCUCCUGGGGAUGUGGGAGGACACUGCCUAGUGGGUGAGGGGCCGCUCUUUCAGGUGUGCACACUAAAUGCAGAGACAGCCUCUCCUGGCUGCCAAGAAGCCUGUGCAUGAUCCAGGACCACAAAACACUUGCAAACUCACUGCCCAGAGGCCCUGUGCCUGUCUGGAGUGUGCCCAGUGUGUCUGCGCCCCACAGCUUGUCCUGGCCCGCCAGCAGAGCCGCAGCACUGCAGGGCCCUUCUGUUGUGAGUGCCAGGGCCCUUGCUGGCUGCCUGAGCAAGGCAAAAGGUUCAAAACAGGAAGUCUCUGGGCAGCUAUUCCCAGGUGCAGAGGGGAGCAGCGGCCACACAGGUGCCAGUGUGGCAGGAGCUGCAGUCAGAGGCAGCAUCUCAAGAGCCCUGGGAGCAGGGGCCAGCCACGUGAAGCCCACGAGUGUCGCUGGCACAGGGAAGGGACACGAGGAUCACACUGACCCAAGAGAAGGCCCACAGUGAGGAGGCCCCACCGAAGCAUCCCCAGCAACAGGGACUGAGGCAUCUGAGGCAGCCAGCCCACUCGGAAAGGCCUGCUGACUGCACUCCAGAUGUCAAGAGCACCCUUGGGAAAAAGAAAGGCAGGAGUGCAGCACUUUCUAGAGCCUCAGCUCACUUCUCUCCUUCUAGCUCCAGCCGGAGUGAUGGAAGAGGCUGCGCUGGGAGCUGCCUCCCUGGGAGCCUACCCUGCCCAGCCUGAGAGUGGAGGCUACCAGCAUCACGCUUCCCCUAGUGAAAUCCAUCUGUCCUGAAGGGAACCCUGGGACGGGGUCAAGGAAACCCUGUUCACCCCCACCACGGGGUCAGGUCUUCACCAAAGGGAGGCCGCACGGAUUCCCAGUCGCAAACCCAAAGCCUUGCUGCCUUUGCCUCUGUUUCCAUAGUUGUUUCAAUGUCUUUUUUAAAAAUCACAUACACUCGAGUAAGACUGAGUCUCCUCACCGAAGAGAUCUGGCUGUAUCCCGAGUCUCUGAAACCUUUGCUCCAGUCCCGUGGGAGCGUGCCGUCCCGAGGAUGUGGAGCCGCAAGGGCUCGCCAGAGGGAUCUCAGGAGCUAGGCCUCAAGGAGCGCUGUUGAGUGACAGGUCUGAUGCAGUAGCUUUUACUAUUGGUGGAAAUCGAUGUUUUUUCCUUGAAAGUCUACCUUUCUAAGUUCAGUAAACCAAAUUAGAUCAUGUAUGUGAAAGCACUUUGUAAACUAUGCAGUACUCCAGAAAAGGCAGCCAAGCCCUUAAUUAUAACUCACCAAACAGCCAAAAAAAAAAAAAAAAA